AUCGAUAUGUGAAUACAUAGCAUUUCAGAAGGCACACCCGGAGAACUGAAACAUCUUAGUACCCGGAGGAAGAGAAAGAAAAUUCGAUUCCCUUAGUAGCGGCGAGCGAAACGGGAAGAGCCCAAACCAACAAGCUUGCUUGUUGGGGUUGUAGGACACUCUAUACGGAGUUACAAAGGACGACAUUAGACGAAUCAUCUGGAAAGAUGAAUCAAAGAAGGUAAUAAUCCUGUAGUCGAAAAUGUUGUCUCUCUUGAGUGGAUCCUGAGUACGACGGAGCACGUGAAAUUCCGUCGGAAUCUGGGAGGACCAUCUCCUAAGGCUAAAUACUCUCUAGUGACCGAUAGUGAACCAGUACCGUGAGGGAAAGGUGAAAAGCACCCCGGAAGGGGAGUGAAAUAGAACCUGAAACCGUGUG
Molecule: ribosomal RNA, 418 nt
Filed under: Stutzerimonas nitrititolerans
Lineage: Bacteria; Pseudomonadati; Pseudomonadota; Gammaproteobacteria; Pseudomonadales; Pseudomonadaceae
Description: partial 23S ribosomal RNA
Rfam family: Bacterial large subunit ribosomal RNA
Source: RNAcentral